This 7165-nucleotide long non-coding RNA is filed under the name Mytilus galloprovincialis (Mediterranean mussel). Lineage: Eukaryota; Metazoa; Mollusca; Bivalvia; Mytilida; Mytilidae. The record is from RNAcentral.
UUGAAAACGAAAAAUGAUUGAAUAUAAAUGUGUACUUGUAAACAAAUGAUUUUAUAUCCUGAAAAAUUAUUGAACCAUAGAGUUGACCAUUUAAAGUGUGUAAAUCAAAAUGUUUAAACUGGGACUGUCUAAUAUCCGUUAAAAUCAUAUGGAUAUAUUGUGAAACCAAUUUAAACCGUCAUGAUUUUUACAUACGGUAUACAAAAUGGAAUAAACAACAAUAUUAAUGUAAAGGAAAUAUCGUGUUUAAAAUUUCCCGUUUACAUAUAAGGAACAAUAUGCGGUAAGUUCUUAUGUACUCGUAUAUAUAUAUUUAUAUUAGUAUAUCGCGCUUAAUUUGUCUUUAGCUACAAUACGUUGGUGUCAAGUUUCAAAUGGAAUCAAAAGUUAAAAACUUGAAAGAUCUGGCUAAAUAUAGACUGAAUAUUAAUUUAGAGAAUGUCUCGAAAGGUACACGAAUGCCACCCAUUCUCUUUAACGCAAAUUUAACUUUUAAGCCUAGUAAGAAUUGUUCUACAUUGUGUAUAGAGGGGUCUGUAUAAUUCCCUUUGUAUUAUAUGUAAAAAAAAUAGAGCUAACUAUCAUUUAAAGAUACCAAAUAUUCACAUGUUUUUUGUGAUAUUUGUGUCUUGCUUUUGUAUAUAAAAAUGAGAUGUACGUGUUAUCAUAAAUAGAUUCACGAGCCUUUCAAAGAACUUGCUUUUAUUCAUAUUUGAAAUGUAAAUUGAAAAGGUUGCAGCGGCCCGUAUCUGACCAUUAUCGUUUAGAUGGCUUAUUAUUUAAAUAUUUAAAACAAAUAAUACUAGAAAUUAACCUUUUCAACAAUAGAAAUUUAAUUCUCAAAAUAAACAGAUAUAGGUAAAUUCACAGUUGUUUGAAUUGUAUACAAAUACCCUGCAUUUAUAUAGCCCUUAUGAAAAAAUAGGAUAUUUAAAAAAAUUCUAAACUUCACAGAAAUAAAUUUCGAAAGAACACAUAAGUUGCAGUGGUGGGUUUGGUCAAUGAAGUAUUAAACUGACAAUACAUAUUACACGUCCAUACUAGUUUGAUUGACUAAAUUUAAUAUUACGUAACUUGAAAUGUGAUCGAAAAUGAAGUCGAUAUCCUCGUGAAUAUCAUAGGUACACCAAUAUAUUAAGAGUACAUAACUUUACACUCCUAAAUCAACAACACACUAUGCAUAAUAGGAUGUCAUAAUAUUUGCGCGGUCAUUGUUAGUUAGGAUAAUCAUACUGAAUAAUUUUUUUAAUGAAAAACAAUAUAAAACAAUUUUGACAUUUUUCAGGUAAAUUGACAUUUUAUGAGAAGGAUGACACAGGCGUAAAAUGGAUCAAGCUAUAUUGUUGGACUAUAAUGGAGAGAAGAAAAUGUAAGUUUAAAAUAUCGCCAAUAUCGGGCUACACAUAAUUUCUUGUUUUCUUUUUUAAAUAAUGUAUUUUUAAAAGCUUUGAAAAUUAAUUUAAGUGUAAUAUUUAACAUGUGGGAAGAAUUCGAAGGCCGCGACUGGUUUUUGAAAGUAUCUUAGGAUUAAGAAAAAAACAUGUUCUAAUAUGAUCUUAGGACAUAUAUAAGUCCUGAGUAAUGUUUUUGAAAGUAUCUUACUAUAGGUUAAGAUAAUUCUUUAAAUUAAUCGUAAAAUUAAGUCAUCAAAAUACAUGUUUAAGAUGGUGUCCGGAUCGCAGAAAUAUGUUUCCUUUAAAAUUAUAUCGAUACAUGUAACGAAUUUAUUUUGCUACUACAUGUAUCAGCCUUUUCAUUCAUUAACUCUUCAUUGGAUAAAAAUAAGAAUUCAAUUACUGUAAACAGCAAUGUAUGAAAUAGAUGUAUUUUUACUUUAUUUCGAUCUGAUGAGUUAAGAACUUUUGAACUGAUUUUGAUAAUGUGUUCUGUUGUUGUACUGUUACACUACUGUCCCAGGUUAGGGGAAGGUUGGCACGUCUUCAAACUAGUUUUACCCCCGACUCAUUCUGUAUGUGCAUGCCCCAAAUCAGGAGUUUGUAAUUCAGUGGUUGUCGUUUGUUGUUGUACAUCAUAAUUGUUUUUCCUUCAUUAUUUUGUACAUUAAUCAGGGUGGUAGUAUUCUGAUUUGUCAUGUUUGUAUUGUUUAAAUUCUAUCAUUUCUGGGCCUUUUAAAACUUACUAUGCAGUAUGGGUUUUACUCAUUGCUGAAGGAAACCUUUAUGUGUUAUCAAUUUCUGUGUCAUUUUGUCUCUUGUGGAAACUCACGUUCGUCUCAUUUUAGCAAUCAUACCACAUCUUCCUGUUUCAAAUUUGUCCGUCAGCGGAAGUGUAUCCCCAUUCUAUUAUCUCGAAUUUUAUUUAGAAUGUGUCUACUGGACGUUACGCAACUAACACUCAACUGAUCGAUCAAAUUUGAUGUUUAGUACAUGUAAUAAACAGUUUUUAGUAUUGAACACGAAGGGAGCAUAUGGAGGAAUUGAUUAUGCUUCAUAUAUAUGCAUUAUGUCAUGUGUACGAUGUGCAAACAUGAGCCUCAAUAUCUGUUUAGACAUAGAUUUUUCCAAUUGUAUUAAACUACAACAAAAGACUUCUAGUUUUAAUAUAUCAUAUUAUAUUACAUAUUUAUUAACAUCCAACCAUAAAAGCUUCAUUUUAACAACGUGCUGAUUGUAAAUAGUUUCUUUUUAUUUAUUACCUCUAAUCUUUAUUAUAGUUUUAUGAUUAUUUGAAUAACUUGUUAAUAUAUGAUCUCGAAAAUCCCAAGUGUACAACCUCUCUUUGGUAAAGUCGGGGGAAUGGAGUGGGGUCAACAAAUUGACACUUUUCUGUAAUGAUUAUAUUUUUUCGAAAGUUACGAAACGUAAAACGUUAAGACUAUCACAAGACUUCAAGAAUGUCGAGUCAUGUCAAAAUGUAUCUUAAGGGAUUUUGUGAAUCAUCUAAAGAUUUGUUUCAAUAUUAUUGAAGAUUUUUUGGACUGUUUAUCACACAUGCACUGCUCACGUCAGAAAUGACGUUCCUGCAUCUUUUAUAUAGAUUAUCAUACGGAGUUUAUAUGGAUACGGAAUACUUCAUCUUUCUUUUUGUAACAGUACAUACAAAUGUGUACAUAUGCUUUAAGCAAGAAAAAGAUUUUGUACAUUAAAGAUGCUGAGAUAAUAACUGUCUUGAACGAGGGGAUUUAUUUAGUUUUCAGUAUAAAUUGGUAGAAUGGUCCAAGCAAACAAUAAUUUUAGGACCAUCUUAUAUCUUUUGCAUUAUUUUCUAAUAAAAAUAAAUUCGGAUAUUCAUCCUAAGAUGAAGUAUGUUAAACGAAUCCAGGUACAUACAUUGUACAUAUGAGACUGAGAUAUGUUCGAGUUACACCUAUAAAAUACUUCUACUUCUACUUCUACCACUAAGUGACCACCGUCAUUUGGUUGACUAUCCUGUCAUUGUUUGGUUUUAAGACACCAUCGAUAAACAGCUCCUUCAAUGUUAAAGAGUAUCCAAAAUCAGAAUUUUUUGGUAGGUGACGUUAAAGAACUUGAAAUCUCUUACAUAGUUUACACCUCUCGAUAGUGGAGAUAUGUAGUAAAUGUUAACCAGACAUCAACCAAACAAUGAAAUGGUACUAAACAAGAAAGAGAGUUAAUAUAUAGACCUUUAGGCCUAUUUGAAAUUGUGCCAUGACCAACUGCAACUUAAGUCUUUGCCAUGACAAAAUGCAACUUAAGUCUGUGCUAUGACAAAGUGCAACUUAAGUCUGUGCUAUGACAAAGUGCAACUUAAGUCUGUGCCAUGACAAACUGCAACUUAAGUCUUUGCCAUGACAAACUGCAACUAAAGUCUUUGACAUGACAAAGUGCAACUUAAGUCUGUGUAUGACAAAGAGCAACUCAAGUCUGUGCCAUGAACAAAUGAAACUUAAACCUAUUCCAUGAAAAUGAGCAACUUAGGUCGGUAACAUGACAAAGUGCAACUUAAACCUAUGCCAUGACAAAGUGCAGCUUAAGUCUGUGCAAUGACAAACUGCAACUUAAGUCUGUUCCAUGAAAAAGCGCAACUUAAGUAUGUGCCAUGAAAAAGUGCAACUUAAGUCGGUACCAUGACAAAGUGCAACUUAAGUCUGUGCCAUGCAAAAGUGCAACUUAAGUCCGUGCCAUAACAAAGUGCAACUUAAACCUAUGCCAUGACAAACAGCAACUUAAGUUGUGCCAUGAAAAAGUGUAACUCAAGUCGGUGCCAUGACAAAGUGCAACUUAAACCUAUGCCAUGACAAAGUGCAACUUAAGUCGGUGCCAUGACAAAGUGCAACUUAAACCUAUGCCAUGACAAAGUGUAACUCAAGUCGGUGCCAUGAAAAAGUGUAACUCAAGUCGGUGCCAUGACAAAGUGAAACUUAAAUCGGUGCCACGAUAAAGUGCAACUAAAGUCUGUCCUGCGACAUAGUGUAGCUUACUUACAUUUGUGUAAGUCUAAGUCUUAAGAUAUAUUUUAACUUUUGUCAUUACUUGUAUAUAUGAGAAAAAUAACAAUUCUAGUACCAAGACAAAUAGUAAAACAGAUAAAUAAAUGUAAAUAGGUCUAUUGCUAAGACUAAGUACGACGACAAAUACUUGUAUUUUAAAGAUAUCGAUGUAUUUAACGGUAAUUGAUUGACUAAAAAGGUAUGGUAUUGCAAUCGUGACCCAAUGCAACAUAUUUUGGCAUCGAACAUCAAUAAAGAGACAUAUGUUGUCUAAAUGUGAAUCUGAUAAAGGAGUAUUAUCACCGUCAAUCUUAUAAUAACUAUAAACAAAACGACCAUAGUAAUUUUAAGUGUCAUUUUACUAGCUAGCAGGUUUUAUUAAUUUUUACAGUGUGUUACAUUUAGCAAUAAUAGUCCGUUCGAUCAUAAAAAUGUUGUACAGUGUUUUUUUUAUAGUGGCAUAUUAUGCUAAUCACUAAUUUAAUAUAUUUGAAUAAUAAUACCAUUACUAUACGUAGCUUUUAAUCCAUCACACGUUUAAUAGUAAAAUUAACACCAUUGAGGGAGUACAUUAUAAAGAAUUAGAACAUUCACAUGGAUUUAACUCUAAUUCUGAUCAUUGAGCAGCAUGAUUUCUUUUAACUAGUAGUGUGUGAUUUAAACGUUCAUCUGACAUUUGAACUGGAAUCAUGACCCCAAAAAAAAGGUAGCAUAUCUGACAUAUCACUAACUUUUACAUUAGGGAGCCUCCAUUUUGUUCUCAUUUUUUUUUUUUGGGGGGGGGGUCUAGGAUAAAAUCAAAAGCAGGACAGCAGUUUGAGUAAAAAAGGGGCAGAAUGAGACUUUAUUUUGAGAAGAAGGUUGAAUUCAGAAUGACGCGAAAUUGCUGUUACCUAAUGAAAAAAAUACAAGUAAAGUAAUUAUAUCAAAAUAAGGAUUGUCAAUGAGAACACAAUCCAUCGGAGAUUAAGUAACAAUGAUGUAAAUAAUAUGAUUGCUUUAAAGAAGGGCCCGAAAAAGCUAAAUAAUUCCAUAUAGAGUAAAGACAAUUAUAACCUUUAAAUGCAAACCCUAAAGUUUGGAUGGCCGUGGUCUAUCGAUGUAAAAGAUUCUUUGAUUAAUAUUGCUGUAUCUUAAAAUGUACUCGUAUCCAACUGUUAUACUGUUUAAACAUAAUAUAAAAUUGUAUAUAUUUUUCAUAUUGUACUGAAAUAUUUAAUUGCUGUCAUCUUGAAAAUUUGUAUAUUGUACUUAUAUGGAGAGGAUUUUCUUAAGUUGUUAUAACUUGUAUCCAAUCCUAUUGUAUAUUUAGACAAUAAAAUAUGUUUAAACUUAAUCGAUGUAAACAAUUGUCAAAAGUGUAUAAAUUGUCACAAUUGUCUUCAGCGCAAUUCUAAAAGCUGCACAACAUUUAUGUAAAAUAUUUAACAAAAUAUAAAUAUAUCACAUAUAUGAAUGAAACAAUAACAGGGAAACAAGAUAUACAUUUGUAUACGGGAAGUAGAAAAGGAAAUUUACUGAUGUCAAUUUUGUCAAGAUACAAUUUAGAUAAGACAUUUAGAUUGAGGUCCAACAAGGGAAAGAUUAAUACUUUUCCAAAAUUUUUCAAGUGCAUUCGAAAAUGUAUAACAUGAGUUCCAGAUUAUCUUAAAUUAUCAAAUACAAUUCCGUUAUCAAUUAACGAUAUGUAUUAUUCACAUCUGUCUACAGUUUCAUCGUCCUGAACAUUCAUGAAAUAUUCGCCACUGAACGUUAAGCAACCAACAAUCAAUCAAUCAAUUUAUCAAUCACAGGCAUUUUUUUGGCUGAAGCUGACCUCCUUGUAUAUCAACUAUCAAAGUUAAAAGGAAUAUAUGAGAUGUUAAGAUAACGUGAGAGGGAACUAUUGAAUAACAGAAUACCAGUUACAUUUGCAAGAGAGAAUAUUAGAAUUUUUAUAGGUUUUCUCGUUUGCCUUUAUUCCUCAAUUUUACUUAACAGAUUCAGCUCCGUAUACUAGUAGGUUCAGCUUCAUUUGGCUUUAAUGGUUGCUAGGUACUGCGACAUAAAAAAAUAAUAAAAAUAUACACAUUAUCUAGAAUGGUAAACCUUCAAGUUACUACAGGUUCCUUUCUGUAGUAUGAUAUUGUAAAGUAUACAUUACAUAUGUUCUACCUAGAACUGAUUCUGACAGUUCUACGUAGAACAGUUCUAGGUUAGAACAGUUCUAUGACAGAUUAUUCUGACAGUUCUAAUGAGAGGUGAGAAGUGAUCUCCACUGUACAUAUGUUUUAUUGUGAUAUGGUAUGUGAUAUGGUAAAUAGAUAUAGGAAGAUGUGGUGUGAAUGCCAAUGAGACAACUCUCCAUCCAAAUAACAAUUUAUAAAAAGUAAACCAUUAUAGAUCAAUGUACGGCCUUCAACACGGAGCCUUGGCUCACACCGAACAACAAGCUAUAAAGGGCCCCAAAAUUACUAGUGUAAAAACCAUUCAACGGGAAAACCAACGGUCUAAUCUAUAUAAAAAUAACGAGAAAAGAAGUUUGUUAUUUAUUAUGUAUAAAUAAUGAUAUAUAUGAGACGUUAAUUGUUUUAAUUUUGUUUCAGGUAUAGUGAUCCCGUGUUUAACCUGUGCCUUUGUGUGAGUAUUCCAGACAGACGUCAACAAAUUCGAAUUUUUUAAAGUCUUCGAUUAUCAGAUUAAAAAUAUAACAAAACGUAACUCGACGAAAAACACUUCACUAUUUUUUAAAGGAAACAGCAUUCCAGUUCAAUC